GACGAACGCUGGCGGCGUGCCUAAUACAUGCAAGUUGAGCGAUGAAGCUUGGUGCUUGCACCAAUUUGAAGAGCAGCGAACGGGUGAGUAACGCGUGGGGAAUCUGCCUUUGAGCGGGGGACAACAUUUGGAAACGAAUGCUAAUACCGCAUAAUAACUUUAAACAUAAGUUUUAAGUUUGAAAGAUGCAAUUGCAUCACUCAAGGAUGAUCCCGCGUUGUAUUAGCUAGUUGGUGAGGUAAAGGCUCACCAAGGCGAUGAUACAUAGCCGACCUGAGAGGGUGAUCGGCCACAUUGGGACUGAGACACGGCCCAAACUCCUACGGGAGGCAGCAGUAGGGAAUCUUCGGCAAUGGACGAAAGUCUGACCGAGCAACGCCGCGUGAGUGAAGAAGGUUUUCGGAUCGUAAAACUCUGUUGGUAGAGAAGAACGUUGGUGAGAGUGGAAAGCUCAUCAAGUGACGGUAACUACCCAGAAAGGGACGGCUAACUACGUG
RNAcentral lists this ribosomal RNA (497 nucleotides) under uncultured bacterium. RNAcentral's name for it is "partial 16S ribosomal RNA". It matches the Rfam family "Bacterial small subunit ribosomal RNA", at positions 28 to 507 of the family's 1533-position model. The record is from RNAcentral.